This is a long non-coding RNA of Bradysia coprophila, 1910 nucleotides long. RefSeq lists it as uncharacterized. Lineage: Eukaryota; Metazoa; Arthropoda; Insecta; Diptera; Sciaridae. The record is from RefSeq and is a predicted model, not a curated record.
UCUUAUAUUGGCGCUCUGCCUUCAAGCUCUCUGAGCUCAGUACGGCCUCACGGCUCCUUGGGUUUAUUUUGCUUAAACUCUUAUAAUAUUGGCGCUCUGCCUUCAGGCUCUAACAGCUCAUUUGGUUAUAUACACUUAAAUGACGUCUCUUCAUGUCAAAUUAUAAAUCAGACGGGAUCUCUUGUUUGCAUUGAUCUCACACAUACACUUUCUUCUCUAUACAACCCCCUCCAUGUCAUUCUAGUACCAUUGCACCGAUCUUACCUUUCUCUUUCGGAGUGUCGGACAUUCUCGUAUCACUCAGUCAACUGGUAGGUCACGUUUUUUGGGCAUUAUUCUCGGUCAUAAACCAACAACCGCUUAUUGUGCGUACUUGUCAGAAAUAAUACAUUCGAGGCACCGAUCUCUGGUUUGCAGAACGACAAGAAGGCCGGUUUUGGUGCGCGGUUAUUUCCCAAGAAACCGACUACUGGCUGUUUCUCAUCAUUGAAAUCAGGCACGUGUCAAGGCUUCAUACAUUUUCGGCAUUGUCACGACGAAGGUCAUCACUUUUAUCGCUCGGAAGGAACACCACCGGCAGAAUUUUUUCAGACUGCGCCUGAGCGUACCAAACGUGAUUAUAUAAUAGCAAUCCCAGGCAGACACAGUGACGCUAGCUCGUUCGGAGUCAGAGACCCAUUAUUUUGCAUUCAUCGCUUUGAUAGACCGCAUGGGCCCGGUUUAUACUUAAGAGAGACUACACAGGCGAGCCUCAAAAGGUAUGAGCGAGGAGCUUAACAACACAAGCCUGUACGACGAGGACUCUCUUUUGGGCGCGGACGGCGAUAACGACUCAGUAGAUCAGAAUACCGACCUCGAUUUUACAUUAAUUGGUAGCGACUUUGCGCUCAACGAGGAUUCCCUCAUCGAUAACCUGUCCACCCUGAAAGUAGGAAUCAACUCGUACACUUCAGAGUCAUCCUUUCCACUACAUUCGGACAUAAUAAGCACCACCAGCGCCAGUGAAUCAAGAGCCAACGAAUCAGGGAAUCAUAAUCCAAGCCACGAAUUUACGUCUAGCAGCAUCAACAUAGUGCCCAACGGGGAUCCCCUCAUCAGCAACGCGUCAACUCUGAAGCUAGAUUUAAACACAUCCACGGCUAACGUACCUGUAACUACACAUUCGGAUACGGUAAGCACCACUAGUGCCGGCAUAGCGAAGGUAAAUUCAUCCAGUAAGCAAGUAGAGGUUCAAACCAUUGGCAAGCGAUCCAGAGAGGACGAAUCUUUCUCAAAAUCUGCGAAGCGAAGGAAAGUCAUCAUGUCUUCAGACGACGAAACGGUCAACAAACCAGAUCUGAACCUCGUGUUAAUCGUACCUGAGGACAGCGACUGUCUCUUUUCGGACAAGCAGGGUGGUAAAAUCGCUGCAAAAGUAGCCAGCGCCAUGAAAGCCGAAGAGGACGUCAAUGUGAAAUUUUAAUUUAGCGGCCCAGACAGAGGACGCUAUAAAUUUGUGUGCCCGAAUGAGGCUGCCAAGAAAUGGGCGCUAAACAUUCUCCCCAAACUCGAAGGAUUGUUUGACAAGAUCAAGUUGAAGGUCAUCGACCAAGGUGUCAUUCCCAAACUGCUUAAAGCUUCGGUGAUUUUCAACAACAAACCACCCAAUUUUGUGGACUUUUGCGAAGAAUUGGAGCGCGAGAAUGACACCCUUGAUACUCUACAUUGGAGACCGUACAAAAACCAGCGAAUCAGAGGAGAUAGAACAAUCGUAUUUUUCGGCAUAGAUGAGGCAUCCGUUGCAGCACUCAAGGAUAUGGGCCACAGGCCUUACUACGAAACCGGCAGGAUCAAGGUUACAGCUGAAUCGAAGAAAUAAUGUCCGUAAAGAUUUAUACCAUAAUAUGCACCUUACGCAGUCAAUUAAACAU